CCGAGUGCGGGCCUCGCGGCCCAACCUCCCACCCUUGUCUCUAUACACCUGUUGCUUUGGCGGGCCCACCGGGGCCACCUGGUCGCCGGGGGACGCACGUCCCCGGGCCCGCGCCCGCCGAAGCGCUCUGUGAACCCUGAUGAAGAUGGGCCGUCUGAGUACUAUGAAAAUUGUCA
RNAcentral lists this unclassified non-coding RNA (176 nucleotides) under soil metagenome. RNAcentral describes it as "partial internal transcribed spacer 1". The record is from RNAcentral.